Molecule: ribosomal RNA, 982 nt
Filed under: Hyalostylus microfloricomus
Lineage: Eukaryota; Metazoa; Porifera; Hexactinellida; Lyssacinosida; Euplectellidae
Description: SSU rRNA
Rfam family: Eukaryotic small subunit ribosomal RNA
Source: RNAcentral
CCGGAGAGGGAGCCUGAGAAAUGGCUACCACAUCUAUGGAUGGCAGCAGGCGCGCAAAUUACCCAAUCCCGACCUGGGGAGGUAGUGACAAUAAAUAACAAUGCGGUUCCAUUUUUGGUUCUGCAAUUGGAAUGAGAACAAUCUAAACACCUUAACGAGGAGCAAUUGGAGGGCAAGUCUGGUGCCAGCAGCCGCGGUAAUUCCAGCUCCAAUAGCGUAUAUUAAAGUUGUUGCAGUUAAAAAGCUCGUAGUUGGAUUUCGGAGCGGUCGGGUUGGUCCGCCCAGCGUGGUGUGCACUGGCCUUGGUGGUAUGGCUGGGGUUGCUUCUUUCACGAGGGGCUUCCCUUAGUCUGCCGCCCUUGUUGCGUGUACACGUAGCAAGUGACCGUUCUUCUCCCUCGGAGACGGAGUCUGUCCUUCACUGGAUGGGCUUUGGAUGCGAGGUGUUUACUUUGAAAAAAUUAGAGUGUUCAAAGCAGGCCUUAUCUUCGCUUGAAUACAUUAGCAUGGAAUAAUGGAAUAGGACUCUGUGCCUAUUUUGUUGGUUUGAAGGCAGAGAGUAAUGAUUAAUAGGGACAGUUGGGGGCAUUCGUAUUUAAUUGUCAGAGGUGAAAUUCUUGGAUUUCUGAAAGACGAACAACUGCGAAAGCAUUUGCCAAGGAUGUUUUCAUUAAUCAAGAACGAAAGUUAGGGGUUCGAAGACGAUCAGAUACCGUCGUAGUCCUAACCAUAAACAAUGCCGACUAGGGAUCAGCGUACGUUCGUUCUAUGGGACGUCGUUGGCACCUUACGAGAAAUCAAGAGUUUUUGGGUUCUGGGGGGAGUAUGGUCACAAGGCUGAAACUUAAAGGAAUUGACGGAAGGGCACCACCAGGAGUGGAGCCUGCGGCUUAAUUUGACUCAACACGGGAAAACUCACCAGGUCCGGACAUAGUGAGGAUUGACAGAUUGAGAGCUCUUUUCUUGAUUCUAUGGGUGGUGG